ACACUCCUGCGGGAGGCAGCAGUGGGGAAUUUUGGACAAUGGGCGAAAGCCUGAUCCAGCAAUGCCGCGUGAGUGAAGAAGGCCUUCGGGUUGUAAAGCUCUUUUGUCAGGGAAGAAACGGUGAGAGCUAAUAUCUCUUGCUAAUGAUGGUACCUGAAGAAUAAGCACCGGCUAACUACGUGCCAGCAGCCGCGGUAAUACGUAGGGUGCAAGCGUUAAUCGGAAUUACUGGGCGUAAAGCGUGCGCAGGCGGUUUUGUAAGUCUGAUGUGAAAUCCCCGGGCUCAACCUGGGAAUUGCAUUGGAGACUGCAAGGCUAGAAUCUGGCAGAGGGGGGUAGAAUUCCACGUGUAGCAGUGAAAUGCGUAGAUAUGUGGAGGAACACCGAUGGCGAAGGCAGCCCCCUGGGUCAAGAUUGACGCUCAUGCACGAAAGCGUGGGGAGCAAACAGGAUUAGAUACCCUAGUAGUCCCA
RNAcentral lists this ribosomal RNA (473 nucleotides) under uncultured organism. RNAcentral's name for it is "partial 16S ribosomal RNA". It matches the Rfam family "Bacterial small subunit ribosomal RNA", at positions 333 to 797 of the family's 1533-position model. The record is from RNAcentral.